This 464-nucleotide ribosomal RNA is filed under the name uncultured bacterium. RNAcentral describes it as "bacterial SSU rRNA". It matches the Rfam family "Bacterial small subunit ribosomal RNA", at positions 29 to 523 of the family's 1533-position model. The record is from RNAcentral.
AACGAACGCUGGCGGCAUGCCUAACACAUGCAAGUCGAACGGGAUCCUGGCUUCGGUCAGGUGAGAGUGGCGGACGGGUGAGUAACGCGUGGGAACCUGCCCAGUGGUGGGGGAUAACUGCGGGAAACUGCAGCUAAUACCGCAUGAGCCCGAGAGGGGAAAGAUUUAUCGCCAUUGGAGGGGCCCGCGUUCGAUUAGGUAGUUGGUGAGGUAACGGCUCACCAAGCCGACGAUCGAUAGCUGGUCUGAGAGGAUGAUCAGCCACACUGGGACUGAGAUACGGCCCAGACUCCUACGGGAGGCAGCAGUGGGGGAAUAUUGGACAAUGGGGGGCAACCCUGAUCCAGCAAUGCCGCGUGAGUGAUGAAGGCCUCGGGUUGUAAGGCUCUUUUGGUCGGGGACGAGUGAUGACGGUACCCGCCGAGAAUAAGACCCCGGCUAACUCGUGCCAGCAGCCGCGGUAA